Long non-coding RNA from Helianthus annuus (common sunflower), 627 nucleotides. RefSeq lists it as uncharacterized. The record is from RefSeq and is a predicted model, not a curated record. NCBI's taxonomy places the organism in Eukaryota, Viridiplantae, Streptophyta, Magnoliopsida, Asterales, Asteraceae. The transcript has 3 exons.
UCAAUUUUCUAAAACUCCCGCCGCACGUAUUUCAUUAAUUUUCAUCUCUUCUCCCGAAAUCCCUAAUUGGGGUCUUCUUCAAAACCAAACCCAAGCUCUCGUGCAUCAGUGCAUAGCAGCGAUCUACCACCAAUCAACCUUUUGCAUUCGUUCAACCUCAGCAAAGCAAUUGACUCAUUGCAUUGCUUCCACUACAACAAAUCAACCACCUUCCAGUCAUCCCCUUUUAGUGUGUUUUUGGAUCUAGCAUAACACCGGUAUUGUUUUCAUCUAAACAUAUGCUUCCAGGUAACUUGAGUCUUGAGGCUGUUGUGAAUUAGCUUUUUAAACAUGAUGAUGCUACAUAGAUCAGAUGACUUUGGUAACUUGGAGCACUAAUGGAUCCGAGCAAGUCAAUUACAAAACUAAGGAAGAUGGAAAAUGGAAACAACAUACAUUACAGACUACAACAAAAACAUGAAGACUAUUACAUUGAAGACUAUGACUUAGAAGUAUUAUAUCAACUUGGUUGUUUUUGUGUUCUAGAAAAGUCAUACAUUUAUUUUAUUUGUUCACAUGUAUUAUCCUAUCUAAAGAACAUUUUCUCUAAGAAUUGUGAAUUCAUACAAAUUUGUAAAUUUUUUGGUA